Molecule: unclassified non-coding RNA, 328 nt
Filed under: soil metagenome
Description: partial contains 5.8S ribosomal RNA, internal transcribed spacer 2, and large subunit ribosomal RNA
Rfam family: 5.8S ribosomal RNA (bases 1-120)
Source: RNAcentral
GAUGAAGAAUGCAGCGAAAUGCGAUAAGUAAUGUGAAUUGCAGAAUUCAGUGAAUCAUCGAAUCUUUGAACGCACAUUGCGCCCCUUGGUAUUCCGAGGGGCAUGCCUGUUCGAGCGUCAUUAUAACCCUCAAGCUCAGCUUGGUGUUGGGGCCUGCUGCACUGGCAGCCCUUAAAAUCAGUGGCGGCGCCAUCUGGCUCUAAGCGUAGUAAUUCUUCUCGCUAUGGAGUCCUGGUGGAUGCUUGCCAUCAACCCCCAAUUUUUCUAUGGUUGACCUCGGAUCAGGUAGGGAUACCCGCUGAACUUAAGCAUAUCAAUAAGCGGAGGA